RNAcentral lists this ribosomal RNA (763 nucleotides) under actinobacterium SCGC AAA043-M15. Its description in RNAcentral is "bacterial SSU rRNA". It matches the Rfam family "Bacterial small subunit ribosomal RNA", at positions 79 to 858 of the family's 1533-position model. Lineage: Bacteria; Bacillati; Actinomycetota; Actinomycetes. The record is from RNAcentral.
CACCGCGGAAGAUUUAGUGGCGAACGGGUGAGGAACACGUGAGGAACCUGCCCCAAACUUUGGGAUAACAGUUGGAAACGACUGCUAAUACCAGAUGCCGUUACUUUGUCGCAUGGCGAGGUAACGAAAGUUUUUCGGUUUGGGAGGGCCUCGCGGCCUAUCAGCUUGUUGGUGAGGUAAUGGCUCACCAAGGCAACGACGGGUAGCUGGUCUGAGAGGAUGAUCAGCCACACUGGGACUGAGACACGGCCCAGACUCCUACGGGAGGCAGCAGUGGGGAAUCUUGCGCAAUGGGCGAAAGCCUGACGCAGCAACGCCGCGUGCGGGAAGAAGGCCUUAGGGUUGUAAACCGCUUUCAACAGGGAAGAAAAUGACUGUACCUGCAGAAGAAGGUGCGGCCAACUACGUGCCAGCAGCCGCGGUGACACGUAGGCACCAAGCGUUGUCCGGAUUUAUUGGGCGUAAAGAGCUCGUAGGCGGUUCAGUUAGUUGGGUGUGAAAACUCCGGGCUUAACCCGGAGCCGCCACCCAAUACUGCUGUGACUAGAGUUCGGUAGGGGAGCGGGGAAUUCCUAGUGUAGCGGUGAAAUGCGCAGAUAUUAGGAGGAACACCGGUGGCGAAGGCGCCGCUCUGGGCCGAAACUGACGCUGAGGAGCGAAAGCAUGGGUAGCAAACAGGAUUAGAUACCCUGGUAGUCCAUGCCGUAAACGUUGGGCACUAGGUGUGGGCUUCAUCCAACGAAGUCCGCGCCGUCGCUAACGC